This is an RNA transcript of Dermacentor albipictus, 1032 nucleotides long. RefSeq lists it as uncharacterized. The record is from RefSeq and is a predicted model, not a curated record. Lineage: Eukaryota; Metazoa; Arthropoda; Arachnida; Ixodida; Ixodidae.
GUAGUCUAACAACAAUGGAAAAACAAACGCGCGUUGAACUCGUGACUUAUAUGUUAAGCUAAAGGUUGCAGUGUUUUAACGUUUGUUUCAAGCUGUUGCUUUAAAUGCCAUGGCGAUAUUCAUAAAAUAGGAGAGUAGCGAUGUUAACUUCUUACCUAAAACCCUGUGAUGAAACAAUUGCAUCAGUGAACGUUCUCCAGUUCGAUUGUACUGUGUCUUGCCGGCGGCAUCAUGAGCUCGCUCUUCGAACGCGUGCUCAAUUUCCUUCAGCGUCGACUGCCUUGUGUCAUGGCCGUUCAAGAACAGGAUGCGGACGUGACCGGCUUUUACGUUCGCCUCUCUGGCGACCUGGAGCCAGAGACUCCCGAGCAAACUUCUUCCGGCUCAACCAGAAACGCUGCUGUACCGGCCGCUAGGACAGCACUUGCACCGCCCAAGCCUCCGCGGCCCCGAACCGUGAAACCCGUGCCGACGGCCUUCCCGUCCAACUGGAGUUCGAGACGGGGCCGACCGGACUACGCACUCAGCGAGCCCAAAUUCUUACCGACUGACCGUGGAUCGAGGAAGAGUGCGCCUUACACCAAGGCUGGGUCGGCGAUGCAGUCGUCGCAACUCCUCGCUGAGGCUCCUGUGCAGCGUCGCCGGCUCCUGAAGCCAUCAUCGGCGAGGCCACCCACGCCGUUCGUAGAGUUGCAGCCCGCAGUGCCGUCGCAGUUUCAACACCGGGCGCUGUCGCCAGGCCUGCGGUACGAGUGGCGGGUGUGACACGCGCUGCUGACUCCAUUCCACUCGCCGCCUAGGCGAAAACCUUCAGAUUGACGACGAAGGUAGCCAACCGGACGUCCACCUCCACCUUGCCUUUCCUUGUUUUAUAUCUCUCUAUAUCUCCCCGUUUGCCGCUUCACUUGCCGGAAACUGUACCUGCGGUCUGCAAAGCGUGAUACCAACUCACCAAGGCGGCAACUUAUUGGUAACUCCAGGAUUCAUUACUUGUGCUGGCAACACUGUUCAAAUAAACAAAGUUGGAUACGA